Small nucleolar RNA from Sinocyclocheilus grahami, 217 nucleotides. Lineage: Eukaryota; Metazoa; Chordata; Actinopteri; Cypriniformes; Cyprinidae. The record is from Ensembl.
AAGACUAUACUUUCAGGGAUCAUUUCUAUAGUUCUUGACUAGGAAAUGUGUUUCGAAAGAGUAGAGUCUCCCAAACCACGAUGAUGAGCUGUGAUGCUCUUAUCUGAGCGUGAGUCGGGUGUAGAGUAAUGAUUAGUUUCAUAAGCUUUACAUCGUUGAUGAACGUUCCUUAUUGCGUUAUUGCAGUGAGGAGGACAAGAGUAUGUGCAGAGUGGUU